AUUGAACGCCGGCGCCAGGCCAAACACAUCAAAGUCGAACGGUAACAGGAAGCACCUCCCUCUUUUGCUGACGAGUGCCGGACGGCUGAGAAAUGCCAGGGAAAUUCCCUAAUGAAGGGGCUUACCAACUGGAAACGUUACUUAAUCCCUAAUACCACCGCAAGACCAAUGAGGGGUACUUUAGGGCCUCUCGCCCUCGGUUGUGCCCAGAUGGGCUUACCUAGUAGUUGGGCUAACGUCCAACCUAGCCGCCGUUCCCUAGCUGGUCUGAGGAGAUGACCAGCCACACUGGAACUGAGACACGGUCCAGACUCCUACGGGAGGCAGCAGUGGGGAAUAUUGCACAGUGGGCGCAAGCCUGAUGCAGCCAUGCCGCGUGUAUGAAGAAGGCCUUCUGGUUGUAAAGUACUUUCAGCGGGGAGGAAGGGAGUAAAGUUAAUACCUUUGCUCAUUGACGUUACCCGCAGGAGAAGCACCGGCUAACUCCGUG
RNAcentral lists this ribosomal RNA (490 nucleotides) under uncultured bacterium. RNAcentral describes it as "partial 16S ribosomal RNA". It matches the Rfam family "Bacterial small subunit ribosomal RNA", at positions 30 to 507 of the family's 1533-position model. The record is from RNAcentral.